Podarcis raffonei (Aeolian wall lizard) is the source of this 213-nucleotide long non-coding RNA. RefSeq lists it as uncharacterized. The transcript is spliced from 2 exons. The record is from RefSeq and is a predicted model, not a curated record. Lineage: Eukaryota; Metazoa; Chordata; Lepidosauria; Squamata; Lacertidae.
CAUACAGUGAAAUUUAAUCUCUUACGGGACAGGAACCAAAACUGAGAAAUCUCGAGGAAUCAAGAAAUCUGGUUACCAAUUAGCUACAGAGGCGCUUUCAAGGUGGGCACCCACGCCCACACCGAUAGAGGAGCUGCUCAAAUGUUAACAUACGUCUCAGUCUACAACCUUCUAAGAUUAUACAAUAAAAUUAUAAUGGUACAAGAAUAAUAA